UCCAUUCUAAUCUCACGAUGUCAUGCAAUA
Molecule: non-coding RNA, 30 nt
Filed under: Mus musculus (house mouse)
Lineage: Eukaryota; Metazoa; Chordata; Mammalia; Rodentia; Muridae
Source: RNAcentral